This 43-nucleotide transfer RNA is filed under the name Pogona minor. RNAcentral's name for it is "partial tRNA-Tyr". Lineage: Eukaryota; Metazoa; Chordata; Lepidosauria; Squamata; Agamidae. The record is from RNAcentral.
GUAAAGGUGGCUGAAGAUAGGUGGUGGGUUGUAAUUCCAUUUA